RNAcentral lists this ribosomal RNA (253 nucleotides) under uncultured bacterium. Its description in RNAcentral is "partial 16S ribosomal RNA". It matches the Rfam family "Bacterial small subunit ribosomal RNA", at positions 524 to 776 of the family's 1533-position model. The record is from RNAcentral.
GACGAACCGUGCGAACGUUGUCCGGAAUUACUGGGCGUAAAGAGCUCGUAGGUGGUUUGUCGCGUUGUUCGUGAAAACUCACAGCUCAACUGUGGGCGUGCGGGCGAUACGGGCAGACUAGAGUACUGCAGGGGAGACUGGAAUUCCUGGUGUAGCGGUGGAAUGCGCAGAUAUCAGGAGGAACACCGGUGGCGAAGGCGGGUCUCUGGGCAGUAACUGACGCUGAGGAGCGAAAGCGUGGGGAGCGAACAGG